Molecule: ribosomal RNA, 253 nt
Filed under: uncultured bacterium
Lineage: Bacteria
Description: partial 16S ribosomal RNA
Rfam family: Bacterial small subunit ribosomal RNA
Source: RNAcentral
UACGUAGGGUGCGAGCGUUGUCCGGAAUUACUGGGCGUAAAGCGUGCGCAGGCGGUUUGGUAAGACAGAUGUGAAAUCCCCGGGCUUAACCUGGGAAUGGCAUUUGUGACUGCCCGGCUAGAGUGUGUCAGAGGGAGGUGGAAUUCCACGUGUAGCAGUGAAAUGCGUAGAUAUGUGGAGGAAUACCGAUGGCGAAGGCAGCCUCCUGGGAUAACACUGACGCUCAUGCACGAAAGCGUGGGGAGCAAACAGG